This 460-nucleotide ribosomal RNA is filed under the name uncultured bacterium. RNAcentral's name for it is "partial 16S ribosomal RNA". It matches the Rfam family "Bacterial small subunit ribosomal RNA", at positions 338 to 795 of the family's 1533-position model. The record is from RNAcentral.
CCUACGGGAGGCAGCAGUGAGGAAUAUUGGUCAAUGGCCGGAAGGCUGAACCAGCCAAGCCGCGUGAAGGCCGAAGGUGCCAAGCAUUGUAAACUUCUUUUGUCAAGGGGCAAAAUCAGGCUCGAGAGCCUGUUCGAGGGUAAUUGAAGAAUAAGCAUCGGCUAACUCCGUGCCAGCAGCCGCGGUAAUACGGAGGAUUCGAGCGUUAUCCGGCUUUAUUGGGUUUAAAGGGUGCGGAGGCGGUGCGUUAAGUCAGCGGGUAAACCCCGGGGCUCAACCCCGGCAGGGCCGUUGAAACUGGCUGGCUAGAGAUGACGUGAGGUAUGCGGAAUGCGCGGUGUAGCGGUGAAAUGCAUAGAGAUUGCGCAGAACUCCGAUUGCGAAGGCAGCAUACCAGCGGCGAUCUGACGCUGAGGCACGAAAGCGUGGGUAGCGAACAGGAUUAGAUACCCGGGUAGUC